UGUAGAUGUUGAACAGCUCUAAUGAGCUCUAGCAUAGCAAAAUAGCGGUAAAUAAUGCUUUCUGCCAUCUCCAGUUAUCUGGGGGACCAUAACUCAUCCUCAAAAUCAUUGGCCAGCUCCCCAUGACUCAUACUUUUCUCCAUUUUCAUGUAGACAGGGGCAAUCCAAUAAACCUGUGCAGAAUGGCUUGGCACUCCAGAAGUUCCAGCAAGCAUAGAAAGGAGCAGUGUCCUGCCACAGCAACAUCAUCUGCCAUAAGCCCACACAGUCUGUAUUUUUUCUCUUCCCCAAACGAACCUAUAGAGCUCCAAAUAAAAUUCAAGGCUUCAGACCUCAUGCUCCAGGCUUCCAAUGGCUGGGAUUCAGCUUACAUAUAAUGUUACCUAAAGCUUUGUGAUAAAGACUAUGCUCAAGCAUUCUACUUCUCUUUAGGCAUUACAGAACUUUCCACAGAUAAAGGUUAAGUUCGACUGUGUUCAAUAUAGAGUUUCUUGACAAGCUGUCUAAGAUUAGGCUGAACACCCACAGGAAGUGAGGAUAUCCCAAGCCUACUAUCUUCUACCUCAAGUAGUACAAGUCUUUCUUCUUGUCUUCUCUAAGUAACAUAACAACAUUUAGACAUGAUGUAUAAAGUCCUACCAAAACAUAACACUGAACACAUAUACAGUAUGUGUGCACAGUAUUUCAGGGGAUGGAGUGAGAGAGCAAAUGGUGUGUGACUCCCUCAGCUAGGACACUUCUGCUUGGAGCUCACCUAAAACUGUUUGUGCAGUACUAUCCCAGCCCUACUUGCAGCAGGACCGGAGGGAGAUAGCAAAGGACAAUGUGAAUAAUAAGCAGCAUAAGAAAAAUCUCUCUUAAGAAGAGAGAUUGUGAGGAAUUGACUGUACUUACCUUAGAAAGGAGACAACUAAGAAAGGACGUUAAGAGAAUAAUGAAUGGUCUAGAAAAGAUGAAGGGAGCUUCUGUGCUUUUCACAGCCGUGCUCAGGUACAGAGCAAAUCAGACAGAGAACUCACCUGCAUUCCCCAAAGUACUAAUCAAAGAUCUUGUUUCCUUCCCAUGACAGACAAAAUAUCCACCAUUUUGAAAAAUGCUUAUUGAAUGUAGUAAGAACAGGGCCAAUAGUAUACUCAAAAAUAACAGUAUGGGAGGAUGCACAAGGCAAAGGUGUGGGCAGGCUAAUAAGGACUUACCAGUGUGAAACAGCAGUUAGUGUGACACCUGGAAUUGCCUCUUUCAGUAAUGAUGUUUGGUAGCUAGAUUUUAUUUUACUUUGCAAGUAAUUUAUCCCCACGCUACUGGUGUCUGUUAACAUCUCAGUGUGUCGCUGGAGUCUGUAAUCCCUCUCUCUCUUCUACCCAUGGCAGCCUCCUUCACUUUAAUCUCAGAUCUCUUACCCUCCUCAGACUCUUAGUGCACACUCACAUUUCCCAACCAUAUUCCCAUGUUUACACAGAUCCAUGUUUCUAGAUUGCCUCCCUGUUCUCUCUCAUUUUUCUUCAUAUAGGACCUCGUGCUCAUGUCCCUCUCUAACAUCAUGUUCCUCCCAGUCUCGCUUCCACUUCUAUUUCCCCAAGUUCUGCCUCUCCCACCCAUGCUUUAUGAUUCCUCUUGGCUCCUCAUUUGCUCUGCCUCCCCAAACUAGGGCCCUCCUGCAUUCCCCCCACCCCGUGUCCCUUUCUAGAGGUGUGUGUCCCUGCAGAGCAAACUGAAGCCCAGUGCAUUGCAUAUAUCAGAAAACAUGUGAGAAGAACAAUAAACUACUGAGGGAAAACUUAGAAAAUAGUAUGCAUUACCUACUCCCUAGAAUUGCCCCUGUGCGGACUCUUGGCACACCCCCCAGUAUAAUGGUGAUUCUUCUGAUAGCUAAAUUACUCUGUAUUUACAAUGAAGUUUCUAUCACAACACAGUUUGCUAACCCGUUGUUAGCCUUCAUACAGAAAAGGUUUCAUUUUCUGAUGAUGAAAAGAAGAUAGAACAAUUUAUAAUAUUUCCAUAAUGAGGUAUCAUUCUGUUCCAUGCCUUGAGGCAGUUUAAAAGAGGCAGACUAUCAAUUCUCUUCUGGGAAAAUCCUAUAGAUAUUAGUUCAGGGUUUUGUGUAACCAUUUUACAUAGUCUUUUGAGAUUUUUUUCGCUGCUGAAUCCCUUGCAGCUUCGUGAGGACCAGGCUUUGCCCAGUUUGCACCUUUCUGUCUUUUCAUCAGCAUAAAGAAAUGAAAAAAAUCUAGCCCAAAAGAAAUAUAAAAGGAAGCUUCCUUUAUCCCUUUGUAUAUAAAAAAUACCCUGCUUUAGAAAUCUCUUAGUUUUAAUCAUGCAAGAAAGGGUUGUUCUACCUCAACAGUCACAUCCCUAUUUCAUCCAUUCUAUGGAUGGUUAGAAUAAGGGGAGCUGAAAUCAAGCAUUUCUUCCAGUGAAUUACAAGAAUGUCUGUUCUGAGCCAGCAAGCUAUAAAAAUGAGCAAAAUGAUAUAAAAACCUAUUAGAGGUAGCAAGAGAUAAUGAUGAUAAUAUCCAUAAUGUACUGUUUCUGCCACUUCAUUCUGCUUUAGAGACUAUUGUUGAGAAUGAUCUGCCUCACCAGGUUCCUGUCUAUCCUGCUUCUUGUGUGACUGCAGAAACUCGCCUUCGUUCAGCGUACCAUUCACUGACCAGACACAGUAAAUCAUAACUGCUCUGUUGAACCCAAGAUGGCACAUGCUGUAGGUAGAUUGUACAAUGCUAUUUAUUUCAUACAGCAUCUGCCAGACAAAGGAUCAAAGAGAUUAACUGAUAGUGGGUCCAGUCCAGGUGCAGACCUGCAGAGCUCUGUAUUGUUUGCAUCCCCAGAAGAGAAAAUGUCCUCUUAAAGCUAUUUUGCUUCUUUCCUUAAGUGCUAGAGCCAAUUUCCUACCUACCUGAUUGUUUCAUAGCUGAUAUUUUCUAAGGGUCUCAGCUCCUUAGAAGCUGGGCUUCUCGUUUUCUCCUGGACAAUAUGUGUGUUAUGUAGCCUGUACAUGGUGAUUAUUGCAAAUGAGAGAGGUUUUACAAAUGAUUUUACAUGGAUGCGAUGUGGACAGUAAUACCAUAAUCCAGGUAUGUGUAGCACUUAUGCAGAAUGUCCAAUGCAGUGAAGAUAGUGCACAUAAGCAGUAAAGCUAAAAAGUGUUGAGCUUUUUCUGCAGGCACUGUAGUCAAUCCAUGUACCAGAAAUUUGCACUUGUCCAGGAUUUCCAGAUAGCCACAGCUACCACAACUAACUGAAUUUGCCAGACAUUUCAUGAAGCUCUUCUUUUUCUGCCUAGGCUUAUGGCAGUCCUAUUUUGGGGGGGGGCAGACAUCUCUGGAGAGGAGGAGACUGCACAGUCUAAAGAUCCCAGCAGACUGACAGCUCUGAAAUGGAACUGAAUCAGGCAGAAGAGGCUUGCUGAAAUACCAUCCAGCUUCCAAACAAUCAAGGAAAGGGAAGAAAUAAAGGAGAGUCUCCCACUUCUUCCCAGUUUUCCUCAAAGGCAAACUUUGGUAAUAACUGUAAAGCAAAAAGAUCUUCAAGUUCACUCGAUCUCUUGGCUAACCAAGUAUGAAACCCCUAUAGCUGUUAGGCAAAAGGCUGUCAGGACGUGGAGGUUAUCAGAGUUUAAGAGCUCAGUGGCAGCACUAUACCUACUAAAAGGGCUGGAUUAGGGCUGGAUUAGGUUGAACAAGUACUUUAGUUCUCUAAGAGGUCAUGAAGGUCCUAACUCUCUUUACUAAGAUAUAUUCGUUAGCUAAACUGAGAUUACAGAAGACAGUUCCAGGAAAAUGAUUUUUAUAUGCUCAGAAUGUUUUUUCAGCCCACAUUUUGUUGUUUAUUGUACAUCAGAAGUCCAAUAAUUUUAUCUUACAUGUUUGCAAAACCAGGCAUAACAUUGGUUAAAUUUCUGUUUUGCAAUAGAGUAACUAUUCUAGUAACUUUUGGAGUAACUUGUAAGCAAGAAUUUGUAAAUGAAUGUACACAUUUUUGUUGGUGCAUUUCUUCUCCCUCAGCUACCCUACAUCAUGCAGAUAGCUCUAUGACUAAGCUCAUAAAUCCUGCAGAGAUUUGAGAGAAUUUAAAAGAAACCUGGAAUGGCCCGAGAUGGAAUGCCUUGUCAUAGGCCAUCCUUCAUCUACCCAUUUAAAUACCCUACAUUUCUUGGAGGCCCCAAGUAGAACUUGCUUCUCAGGCCUUAGAGAUGCUGGUAAAUUCAGAGCCAGCCAAAGGCUGCUGAAACUUGGCUGUAGGAUUUUAACUGUAUGAACCGAAAGACAACAUGCGAUGUUCUUGUACAGCUUCUGGAGGAGAACUGAACUGUGUGUGCCCAGCACUGUGUGGAAAGAGGAAUCAACCUGCCUGCAUCCACAAAAGCAAAAUGCUGCGUGCGUUGGGGAUGUUAUUGAGAGCAGAUGAAAGGCUUCCGGACUAGCUUCAGGAAAAGUUGGCAUCCUGACUUGACUGAUGGGAUGUUAACAGCUCCGAAGAAGAAGAAAAUCCAUAUGCCAAAGCAGAGGAAGAAUGUUGGAUGAAGCAUGGAAACAGGCCUCCUGUUCCUUCCAGUCCAACAGCCAGGUCCUCCUGCCACAAAAGACAAGGAAGAGGAUUGGGUGGAUUGACUACUCAGACUGGCUCCAGAAGGACCGUGUCCCUGAUUACAACCUCUGAGUGAUACUAUGACACAAUAUCUCCAUGUGAUUAGACAGAAAAUCCUGGCCUGGACAGUUUUUAUAAGUUUAGAGACACUUUGAUCAGCUCCUUGCAAUAGUUGUUUUUACCUGUUGCCUUCAAUAUGCUUAAAUUAUCCUCCAUCACUGCAGUGAAGAAGGCCAUAUCCUGAUUUUGAUUUACUCUCCUCCUGUAAUGUGGUGAAAAGGGGAAGGUGGCCUUGGAUGGGGGGAAGGUGGCCUUGGAUGGGGAAUGGUAUUGAACCGAGUGAAUUCAUUUAUGUUUCUGCAGUUUCCUCCUCAGAGUGUCCUUGAGUAAGUCAUUAACGCAGGCCCAUUAAUUUCAGAUGCCUCUUCCUUUUCUGUGCUUAGCCUGGAAGUAUUCAAACUGGGCAUCCAAAAUAGAGUAGACUUUUUGAAGCUUUCACUUUACCUAGCUGGAAGAUAAUUUUCCUUUUUCCUUAAUGUUGUUAAAUAAGAUUGAAAUUCUAAGGUAAUAAACAUAAGAAAAACACACAGUAUUAUACAAAGUAGAAUGGCUAUCAUAGAGAAAUUGCCACUGACCAAAAUUUAUUGCCGUUUAGGAUCUCAAAUACUGAAAUGGUUGAGAAUUUUCUGGGUUAAUAUGUCAACAGAAAAAUCUCAACUAAACGGAUUUUUAAAUGAAUAGCUAUUUAUGUUGAAAAUGUUCAUGGCUUUUUUUUCAGAAUGAAAGUAGAAAAUCCGGUUUCAUUUUCUUUCUUUAAAAUAAUUUACUCAAAAUUGUUGUAACUUUUUUUUGCAUAAAAAAAUCCUUAUCAUUAGUUCUAUUUACUUAUCUGAUAUUUCUUUUUACUUUCAAAGGAUAAUGACUUCAAUACUUCAGAUGCUUCAGAUCGUGGAAUGUCUGGGACUAUCAAAACAUACAAUAAAUACAGCAGUCAUAAUCAGAAACAUUUUGCUUUAGCAUGUAAGCAAUUAUUUCUAUAAAAUCAUUGAUAUUCUUAGGAUUUAACAGGCAUGGUUGGCAAAUUUAUUUACAUCUUUCCAAUGUUUUAUGCAUUUGUUGUUCCAGCUUCAUCUUUGCUAUUUCUGUUCCCUUGUCUUUCUUGAAUUUAUGAUUAAUGUUUCUUUAGACAGCAAAUAGUUAUGCAAAGUCAUAGCAUUUUUGAGAAAUAAAAUAAGUCAAUAAAAUGUCAGUAUUUACAGCAAGUUUUCUCCGCACGCAAGAGAUCUUGUAGGCAAAAGCAAUGCUCAGAUUAAAAUAAUAACUGCCCAAGAAGGAAAGAAAAAUGGGGCAAGAAAUAGGUAUUUACAGAAAAAUUCCAGUGACUACCUGGAUACAAUUGAUAAAGAGGACAAAAGAACUAACAGCAUGGAUUUAAUGGAUCAAGUUUCUCUUCUGCAGUUCAUCUCUUCAUUAAUGGCCCAUGAAAACUGAAGACCAGGAGAUUUGGACCAAAGAACUGCUAAAGACUUAACCAAGCAUUACCCCUUGAAAGACUGUAUCAUUGAUGCUUUAAAUUAAAAUUUUAUUGCCAUUGUAAAACAUCUGUGAGUUACCCAGGAAAAAUAAAAUAUAGGAUUUUCA
This is a long non-coding RNA of Dromaius novaehollandiae (emu), 6228 nucleotides long. RefSeq lists it as uncharacterized. NCBI's taxonomy places the organism in Eukaryota, Metazoa, Chordata, Aves, Casuariiformes, Dromaiidae. The record is from RefSeq and is a predicted model, not a curated record. The transcript has 4 exons.